AAUGGGCGCAAGCCUGAUCCAGCCAUGCCGCGUGAGUGACGAAGGCCUUAGGGUUGUAAAGCUCUUUCACCGGUGACGAUAAUGACGGUAGCCGGAGAAGAAGCCCCGGCUAACUCCGUGCCAGCAGCCGCGGUAAUACGGAGGGGGCUAGCGUUGUUCGGAAUCACUGGGCGUAAAGCGCGCGUAGGCGGAUGAUCAAGUUGGGGGUGAAAGCCCGGGGCUCAACCCCGGAACGGCCCCCAAAACUGGUGAUCUAGAGUCCGGGAGGGGCAAGUGGAAUUCCCAGUGUAGAGGUGGAAUUCGUAGAUAUUGGGAAGAACACCAGUGGCGAAGGCGGCUUGCUGGACCGGAACUGACGCUGAGGUGCGAAAGCGUGGGGAGCAAACAGGAUU
This 392-nucleotide ribosomal RNA is filed under the name uncultured Alphaproteobacteria bacterium. RNAcentral describes it as "bacterial SSU rRNA". It matches the Rfam family "Bacterial small subunit ribosomal RNA", at positions 370 to 779 of the family's 1533-position model. The record is from RNAcentral. Lineage: Bacteria; Pseudomonadati; Pseudomonadota; Alphaproteobacteria.